Anguilla rostrata (American eel) is the source of this 1734-nucleotide long non-coding RNA. RefSeq lists it as uncharacterized. Lineage: Eukaryota; Metazoa; Chordata; Actinopteri; Anguilliformes; Anguillidae. The transcript has 2 exons. The record is from RefSeq and is a predicted model, not a curated record.
AAUCCUUCAGCAUGUGAUAGACUACAUUCUGGACCUGCAGUUAGCGCUGGAGACUCACCCUGCUCUGCUUAAACAGCAACACGGGACAUGCCCGUCCGGCUCAAACAGGACACCAUUGACGGCUCUCAACACUGAACAGGUGUGCAGAAAGCCGAUCCAAAGCCUGCUAUGCCUCGUGAUGGAAUCGGGAGGCAGUCACAGGAGAUUGCAAACCGCUACUGCUAAUGAAAAAAUAAUAAACCGUACUAGUUACUAAAGAUAAAACAAUAGUAAGAACCAAAUCAAAAACACAUCUACGUCAGCGGCUAGUAGCCUUCUACUUUUGCCUAUUUUCAGAGAAGCGUAAUUGGAACUCAGAAGGCUCCGGUGUUGGAAAGCACUUCGUUUGCUAAGGCGUGUUGGAAGCUGUCAUUUGAUUGGCAUUCAAGACUAGUUGAUUUUUUCUUCAUUAAAUUUACUAAAGAUCAGAUUUUAAAGCUUUACUAAAAAGUAAAAUAAUUGUUCGUUCUGGCAUCUAUUGUUUAAAAUAGGUGAUUUGUGUUGAACAGGGAUUUCCCUGUGAUGAACUGUUUAAUAUUGUAAAGAGGCAUAAUGACUCAUGACAAUUAAUCUUGUAUAUAUAGAGACAGAUGUUCUAUAAAUGUACGUGGAAGAAAAUAUCUAUAUGCUCAAAUAGACUAUUGUAAUUAUAAGAUAUUUUUAUUAAAACCCUUUGUUAUGUAAAUAUUGCAUUUUCACUUUUAAGUGUAGUGGAUGAAUACAUUAUGUUCUGCUAAUAAAGUCUUCACAUUAUAUCAGUUUAUUUUUUUUGUGAUUUUAUAAUUUAAAUAGUAAAUAAGCAUGGAGCAUGCAAGGCUUGACAGAAAGAUGAAAAUGUAGGUUGUGCACAGAACUAGCUUAUGUAUUUUUUCAAUGUGAAAAAUAACCUUCCAUACCCUAUGUUUUACUCUCAUCCAGGGGAGAAAAUAAGAUGUAUUUUGUGCAUCGCAACAAAACAUCCUUGAUGCACAAAGCUGUGCAUUGCCUUGGCAUUAAACCGGCCACUGCAAGGGAAACACCUUCUUAAUAUUCUGUUAAAAUUUGCACAUUUCCUCAUGUCGCCUCAUUCUUUUUUAUAGAAUCAUUUUAUUGCAGUUUUUUUUGUCAAGAUAGUUUUUUUCAUUAUAUUUUUUGACCUGUACAUUGGAGAGCCUGUAGACUGUGUAUAAGAAAAUCAAUAAUGUGGUGAAAAGUGUCUUUGACAAUUGGUAUAUUUUGAGGUCACAAUAGGCAAUGUAUUGUAGUUGCUUUCUUUAUCUUUAAAACCUGGUGGCUCACCAUUAUGUUACAGACUGUUUUGGGGUGUUUCAAAACUGCUCUGUUGUGAAAUGCCAGGGAGGUGAACAAUGUCAGAUGUUACCUACAGUAAAAAAAAAAAAAAAAGUAUUUGAAAAGUAGGCGGUGUUUUCCUUCAUAAAAUAAACACACUGAAGUUUGAUCCCUGGAACAUAUUAGGAGGAACCGAACGUGUCAGAUCUGAAUGUGAAAAAGCCUUGCUUCAAAGCUAUUUUUUAUCAUGAUGUCAUGAGUGGGAGUCUUAAAUUGCCAUGAUUCACUUUUGGUCGAUGCACAGCCUGUAGAAGACCCAUAACAUGUAUUUGUCUGUGCACUGUCUGUAUUGAAAAUGACCUUCGCUCAAGUCGGCUGUGGAUUGCUUACAGUUGUCAAAACAUUAAACGGUCAUGUUUACAGUUA